This is a non-coding RNA of Danio rerio (zebrafish), 572 nucleotides long. The record is from Ensembl. NCBI's taxonomy places the organism in Eukaryota, Metazoa, Chordata, Actinopteri, Cypriniformes, Danionidae.
GUUUAAAUUUCAACAAGCCGUCGUCUCAUUCAUCAACAACUGAGGAGACGCUAUUUUCACAUGGAGGUAAUCUUCUAUUGAUAAUUUCUGGAUUUUAAAAUGGUUUCAGCUGUUGAAUUCACCUCAGAUCAGUGUUGCUGUAAUUCCCGAUCUAUGGAAAGAAUAAUUGAAUGAGCGAGCAACGCCACAACUACAGGACCUCUUCUUUCUCUUCUCAUAAUUUAACUGGAUUAUCUGUUGAAUUUGUUUUUUUCCUCUGACAGCUUUCUCCAUACCAACAACUAUGCCUGGUCUUCAGCUGCGCUCCCCGGUCUGCUGUAUUCUCCAGUCCAGCUUCACUGCCCAGUGUCUGAAUUUUAAUUUAUAUAUUUAUUUAUAUAUAUAUAUUUACAUUUUAAUGAUUUCUUGUUUACUUUUCUUGUUUGCUUACCCUUUAGUUUAAUUAUAUAUAUAUAUAUAUGUAUAUAUAUAUAUAUAUAUAUAUAAUCUAAACUUUAUACUGUUUGUUUAUAAUUAGAUGUGUACUGUAUGUAUUAAAUGUUGUGAAAUAUAUAAUAAAAAGUUUGAUUAUA